UCACUCUUAAUUUCCUCAUCCUCGCUCAAAUUAAUGGGGAAAUUGUCGCUUUCUCGGUCCGAAUAGCUCUAGCUGCUGCUGGCUAUGAUUGUAAACAAUGUUCAGAUGUGAGGAGCUCCACAACCCGUGACGUCACGCGCACAUCGUCUGCUACUUCCGGUAAAGGUAAGGCUUUUUUAUUAGCGACCAAAAGUUGCGAACUUUAUCGUGGAUGUUCUCUACUAAAUCCUUUCAGCAAAAGUAUGGCAAUAUCGCGAAAUGAUCAAGUAUGACACAGAAUGGACCUGCUAUCCCCGUUUAAAUAAGAACAUCUCAUUUCAGUAGGCCUUUAAGGAGGACGAGAUGCAAUGUGCUCAAACAACCACCAGGUAGCAUCUGUGAGCAGAUAAUACUGUAUCAUCUUUUUCGGACUGAACAGGUGGAGUUUUCAAUCAGGGUUUAAGUGAGGGAUGAAGCAAAAAAAACUAACCCGGACCAACUGUGACCACGAGGAUCCGAGUCUGGUAGAAGGACGCUCAGCUGCAUUUGGCUGGCUCGUCUUCCAGCAGAUGAUGAUUCAUUUCACCCGUGGGUGGAUGGAGCUCAUUUCAAAAGGAACUUCCGCUGGUGUUUGCGGACUCUGGAGUGGUCGAUCUUCUUCAUCAGCUUGGUGUGCUUGUAGAUGAGCCAGGUCUCCCUCAGCACGUUGGCCGCCGCGUUCUUUAUCUGCGCACAGACGACACACACACAUAAUCAUUACGGGUCGCCCUUGACAACAGAGGCGACCGGCGUGGAGGUUAUGUGGACUAUAACGCAGCCAAGUGACGACUGGAUCUGGGAGGACAUAAAUCCAGUGAAAGACUUCAAAGAGAUGCUGAGGACUAAACAAAGAACAAUUAUACUCCCAGCCUGAGGAGCACAAAAGGGAGCGAACAGCUUGGCUAAUCAGCACCCGGCCACUGCAGUCAAGCAUCUUCACAGACCUUCCCAUGCUGCUCCUCCUUCACGCCCUCGAUUAUCUGCUUCAUGCCGUGCUACGCUGUUCAUUUUGUCCACAAUUGUCGAGCCCCACUCAUUCACGCCACCAGGCCUUACGCACCCUCUUGGUGAGUUGUGUGUCCAUCAUGAAGUUGUGCACGUGUUUCUCGGCCUUGGUCAGCUCCAGCUUCCUGGCUACCACGGCAACCACCAGAGCUGUGCAACCGGCACCCUGAAA
This is a long non-coding RNA of Nerophis ophidion (straightnose pipefish), 1195 nucleotides long. RefSeq lists it as uncharacterized. NCBI's taxonomy places the organism in Eukaryota, Metazoa, Chordata, Actinopteri, Syngnathiformes, Syngnathidae. The record is from RefSeq and is a predicted model, not a curated record. The transcript has 5 exons.